Molecule: ribosomal RNA, 252 nt
Filed under: uncultured bacterium
Lineage: Bacteria
Description: partial 16S ribosomal RNA
Rfam family: Bacterial small subunit ribosomal RNA
Source: RNAcentral
UACGUAGGUCCCGAGCGUUGUCCGGAUUUAUUGGGCGUAAAGCGAGCGCAGGUGGUUUAUUAAGUCUGGUGUAAAAGGCAGUGGCUCAACCCCUUCCCGCCAUUGAAACUGGCGAUCUUGAGUGGAAGAGAAGUAUGCGGAAUGCGUGGUGUAGCGGUGAAAUGCAUAGAUAUCACGCAGAACCCCGAUUGCGAAGGCAGCAUGCCGGCUUCCUACUGACGCUGAAGCACGAAAGCGUGGGGAUCGAACAGG